CCUCCCCCACAGCAGAUCAUCUCUGCCACCCAACACCUGUUUAGCCCCCAGGUGUGAAGCCACAGCUCAGCCCAGCUCCAGAGGUCUCUCCCUGCAACAGCUAACGUGGCUGAUCCCAGCCCCACACCCAGCCAACAGCACAGAACAGCUGAUGAAGGUCACAUCGUGAAGUCCCUGCGCAGGGAAAGCUCAGCCAGCCCAGCAAUCCCCGAACUCCAGCAGAGCUGGAUGCCAGGAAAAAGGAUGAACAAAAUACACAAAACAGCAACAACCUCAGAGCUUCAGCUCCAAGCCUCUGCCAAAAGCCAGGGAUAUUGCUGGAGGAAGGAGCAGAGCACACAGGAGAAGACAAAUCAUCAAAAGUGUUUGACUGCUGUCUCAUGCCAUGUUGAAGAGCCAACCACAUCAACUCUUUUGCCCCAAAAGAAAACCUAAACCCUUUCAUCACCUCAAAGAGCAAAAGAAUAAGAGCAGGUAGAGGAUCAGCUCUGACAGACCCAGUGCCAACACCCACCAGCCAAUCCCAGCCACAACACAAACUCCUAAGAUUUUAAUUUUUAAAUUCACAGUUGUGCUUUGUACCAGCUGUAGAGGCUGAAGCACUGGACACCCCAAACCAGAGCUGCCAGCAGCUUUUCUCCUCCGUUAUGGGGCAAACUCUCCAGAAAAGAUCUUUAUUUUUAGUUUGGCAGCCAGCAGUCAUUUUCAGGAUCCAUAAACUGUGUUCAGGAUCAUCCUCACCUUUGUAUUCUGACAAGCCUGAAUUUUUGCUUUAAGUUGCAGUGCAGUUUAUUAGUCCAAAGGAUUUCCAGCUCCAGUUAUUGCCAGGUAGGAGCUGAGCCCCAUUCAUCAUCCCCUUACUUACAAGACAAGGUAGCACAAGGAAGCCAAAGUUCACAUUGACUUCCUGCUAAAAUCAGGCCCUGGAGACAGAAAAAGCUUCAUUUUGUAUUUUCAUCUUGUUGGGCUUUGAAAUUCUGCUCACAAGAUAAGCACGAGGUGGCCAAGACUUCACCACACAGCAGCCCAAGCAUCCUGCCUGUUGUUACCCACAGAGAGGAGAUUCCAGAUCCAGGCAGAGGAUGGCGGGUUUAGGUCUAGAUUUAGUCUAAGCCAGGGGAUAACUGGUUUACUUAAACCCUGCCUGGAGGUGAGGAGCAGGUCAGAUGCAGCAGAGCCCAAGAAAAGCUGUUUAUGGGGACAGGAAUGUGGAGUGAAGGACAACAAGACCUUUGCAGCACUCUAGUUCGACCACAGCAUGAUCCAGGGAUUCCAGCCACAGCCCACAUUUCCAAAAACAACACUCAAUUCCCCCUUUUUGGUCGCUGAGAACAGGAAUACACGAUGGAGGACGAAUGUUACAGCCUAAAAUCUGAGGGGAGCAACAGGACCUCCAUAGGAUUAAUGCAAACAGCAGGUACCAGAGGGAACAAAGACAUCAAGUGUGAUUUCACUGCAGCUCCCAAAUCUACCCUCCAAUAAAGUUCAUCCAACUUAAAAGUAGGGUUUAACU
This 1513-nucleotide long non-coding RNA is filed under the name Cyanistes caeruleus (blue tit). RNAcentral's name for it is "lncRNA (ENSCCEG00000003513.1)". The record is from RNAcentral. Lineage: Eukaryota; Metazoa; Chordata; Aves; Passeriformes; Paridae.